AUUGAACGCUGGCGGCAGGCCUAACACAUGCAAGUCGAGCGGUAGCACAGAGAGCUUGCUCUCGGGUGACGAGCGGCGGACGGGUGAGUAAUGUCUGGGAAACUGCCUGAUGGAGGGGGAUAACUACUGGAAACGGUAGCUAAUACCGCAUAACGUCGCAAGACCAAAGUGGGGGACCUUCGGGCCUCAUGCCAUCAGAUGUGCCCAGAUGGGAUUAGCUAGUAGGUGGGGUAACGGCUCACCUAGGCGACGAUCCCUAGCUGGUCUGAGAGGAUGACCAGCCACACUGGAACUGAGACACGGUCCAGACUCCUACGGGAGGCAGCAGUGGGGAAUAUUGCACAAUGGGCGCAAGCCUGAUGCAGCCAUGCCGCGUGUGUGAAGAAGGCCUUCGGGUUGUAAAGCACUUUCAGCGGGGAGGAAGGCG
RNAcentral lists this ribosomal RNA (427 nucleotides) under Pseudomonas sp. RNAcentral describes it as "bacterial SSU rRNA". It matches the Rfam family "Bacterial small subunit ribosomal RNA", at positions 29 to 453 of the family's 1533-position model. The record is from RNAcentral. Lineage: Bacteria; Pseudomonadati; Pseudomonadota; Gammaproteobacteria; Pseudomonadales; Pseudomonadaceae.